CUCUCUGGUUUUUCUUCUUGCGUUUUCUCCCUCCUGGAUAUUUUCUUCUCUGGGAAUAUUUCUUUCUUCUUUUUUUUUUCAAAUCCUCUAAGAACAAGAUAUGAGCUGUGAGAAAUGAAUGGGUUUUGGCGAUUCAUUUGAAUGAUGGUGUUGUAUCAGGGAGCAUCUUACUUCUUCCUCUCUUGGCUGCCAUUGUUUCUUUUUAAGGGAGUACAAGUCUAGGGUUUGAUAUUCAUGAAUAUGUUAGCUGAAAUUGUUAAUUCUUGGUGAUGAAAUUAGCUUAACAAGGAUUCAAAUCCUGAACAUCCCACUUGCAAUCGAAGUAUCUUAUUUUCCGUAUACCGGAUGAAGCUGAAUUUUUAGUAUGUUGUUUAUAUAUGUGGUCAAUCUACGGAAUUGGACUGUACGUGUUUGGAGCUUGAAGUUGUCAUGGAUGUAUUGAAAUUUUAAUUGGUUUAAAUGGUGUUGUAUGGAUUUUAUUUCAACUUAGUGCUCAAGUUUUCAAUCAUGGUUUCUUAUAUAUGAACCAUAUGAUGUCUUUCUCGACGUCAUUGCAUGAGUUAACAAUUGUUGGUAUUCUAGUGUACUCUUUAUGGCUCAUGGAACAUCAACUUGUUUACGAACGACAUAAUAGUGGGGUUUCCAUGAGAAUAAUUAUGAGCACAGUUAGUUAAGAGGACUUGGUAGUUGUACAAAUGAUAAGCCACUUUUUAGUAUUCUCACUCUUGCACACUACCCAUACAAAUGUUGUGACAGUAAGCAUCAUCUACUACGAAUGGUGAAAGUCAUGGUUAUCACCAUCACUAGAUUCAUUGUGCAUGUUAAUACAGUUGCAUUUCUACUUGGCUUGGGAAAUCUUGCAGUUAUCCUUAUUGUCUAAUAUACUCAGGGAAUGACUCUUCAUUCCUUGUUUGAAGUUAUCAUUAUUACUCACUAGCUUGAUCUCCAGGAUGUUUGUAUAAAAUCUACUUGACGCUACUAACGUCCAGAGACUUAGGAACUCGUUUAAAUUCGUUAAUUUUAUUUCGUACACAUAUUCUUAGUUCCAGACUUGGGGAUGGGUGCUCUAUCCAACUCUACCUGAAUUCUACAUUUGGUGUCGUAGGCAGGUACGAUUGGAAAUGGAGACACUUUCUAUUGCUUUCAUGUUACUGUUUUAUUUUCUAAAGUCACUAUGAAGUGCAUACACUUGUCACCAUUUUGUGAUGUAGAUAAAUUUAUGCUUUGGUGAGACAGUUUGUCCAACACGAGCAAGCUUGAUCUCUUUGGUGCCACAUUUAGUUGUUUCACUAAUUAGGUAUACAUAAACCACUACUAGUUCUUUAUUGAAUGGUGACUUGCUUAAAUUGUAUAAGGCCAAGAUAUGAGAUAAUAUCAAUGGACAGUCUUUAUUCAUUUCACUACCUCAAUGGUAACUAACCUUACUUAAUGAUCUCAUCCUAUUUAGCUGACACUAAUAGGUAUUAUGAUUGUAAUAAGCUGGGAACUUGUAUCAUUAAUGAUUAACGGAAAUGGUUAUUAAAUUAGGCAUUGGAGUUUUGUGGAUAACAUUUUCUCACCUUGAUAUUGUAGCCUUCGUUUGUGCUGAUAAUUGUCGAAAACGAUGAAAGUAGUGUAAGGCUACAUUUUGUUCUGUACUCUUUAGUUUGUUGUGUUUGAAAUGCAAUCUAUUGUCAAUCACUUUUAUUAACGGAUAUCAACUUAUUUAGUGGCACAUUCUCUACAAGUUUUAAGUUAGGAUUUUGACCUUGUUUGUUACAGGCGUUUAUGUAGAAUGUCUGUGCAUAGAAACUGGUCAUAGAUAUAUAUGAGCUAUCAACUGAUUUCUUCUUU
Molecule: long non-coding RNA, 1833 nt
Organism: Papaver somniferum (opium poppy)
Lineage: Eukaryota; Viridiplantae; Streptophyta; Magnoliopsida; Ranunculales; Papaveraceae
Exons: 3
Source: RefSeq, a predicted model, not a curated record